GGCUGCUGCUUACCGCGCCGGACGCCGGGGCUGCGGGACAGGGCAGCACUGCGCGACCACGGUGACUCCGGCGCUGAGGGACACCGCAGCAUGAGGCAGAGGUCUCUGUGUUUACUGGAGUCCGCAGGCUCGGGGCCGAGGCUCCGUCGGGUCCUUCCUCCGCGACCCGGCCCCCGGGGCCUCCCCGUCCCGCUGCCCCGGCCUGGCGCUGGCGUGUGCCAAGGGUGGGCUCCUGCGACCCUGGCAGGUAGGUGGCUGAGAGGACCCUGGCGCGCCUUUCGAUUUGUGGGGGCGGUGGGUGCGGCCGGGCAAUGGCAGCCGCCUGCGCCUCUGGUCUCAGUGACACCCCUUCCCUAGCUGCCUUCCGAGGGGACCGCACUCUUGGAGGUCUCCGGGGCACACUGGAAAUUCCCAACUUAAAAACCACCUUGAGGAGCCCUACACGGAGCCGGGCUUGCCUGGCCUAGCAGAAAGCCAGCUGCAGCCAGAGCCUCCGCCUGGCAUGGGGCACUGGUGGGCCGCCACCCCACGUGCUCAGUGAUUAGCGGGGAAGAAGGGGUCUGGCAGGCCCCUCAGGCAAGGCCUCUGUGCCGCAUCCCGUUAAGGGGCGGGGACCAGCCCCAUAUCUUGGCUGAUUUUCCUGACUCUGAAUGCAGAGAAAGUAUGUCCAAGAGUUCAAACCACAUUUGUGUUCUUUUAAUGGUGUUUAGUGCAGAUGUUAACUGUGAUUUAUGUGAAACGGGUUGAUGCAGAGGAAUGAAGGUCAACUGUGGACAGGUGGACAGCUUUUGUUUGUUUGCCUUUUCCCUAAGCUUGUUUUUAGUGGGAUGUGCAUGGAGAGGAUGACAUUUGAAUAUCGGGCCACCAAUGUGUAUUUGGCCCCAUCUGACACUUUGCUCCAUAGACAGUCGUUGUACCCCAGGGAUGAGGAUGAACUAGGUUCUAAGCUGAGAAAGACAUCUUCCUACAGUCGCUGCCGCCUGCGGGAAAGCUCCGCCUUCUGGUUCCCUGGCCGCGGACAGGCCAGUUCACUGUGGUUGCCUUCUCCCGUGAGCACCUCUCUGCAGCCCUCUCAGGGGAUGCCGUUCAUUCCGUAUGUGAUUGCCAGAUGUACUUCUCAGGUCAGAAGCCCGGCCCCAGAUUGUUCGAGUCCUAUAGUGAGUUCUUCUUGUGCUCCAGGCUUUAAAAGUUUUAAGUCUUUUUGAUAGUGUAUUCAAUAGCAUGAGCCAAUUGUAUAGUUAUAGGAAAGACAUGGUUUGGGUGUUCCUCCUGUAAAGGAUGUUUCGGAACUUAGAUCUAGUUCCUCCGUCAAGGCUGUUUAUUUGUGUUUACGACGCUAACAUUUGAAACGUCUUAAGCUUGACCGCAUAUUGUGAUUCUUCCCCCCACCCCCCGACCUGGGAUGAUCCUGUUCCGUGAUGGUUAUUCCAUGGUGUUACUAGGUGUGGAAGAGAAAAUGGGCUUUGGAAAUAAUGUGCGUGAUGAACUUAGCACAGUCCUUGGCACAUAGCAGAUGUUCAACAAGGUCAUUUUUCCUCUCUUCCUUGGGUUUGAGAGACCUGGGGAUGAUGAAAUCGGAUGCAGUUUUGGUUGCAUGCCUGUUUUUAAAUUAGGGAGUUGAGGUGCCCCCCAUUCCUCCUCCCACUCAAACUCCCAGCUCUUCAGACAUUUCCGUGGUAGAUUAAAAAUGAAACUCACGUCUUGGACCUA
Long non-coding RNA from Macaca mulatta (Rhesus monkey), 1710 nucleotides. NCBI's taxonomy places the organism in Eukaryota, Metazoa, Chordata, Mammalia, Primates, Cercopithecidae. The record is from Ensembl.